Molecule: non-coding RNA, 2306 nt
Organism: Punica granatum (pomegranate)
Lineage: Eukaryota; Viridiplantae; Streptophyta; Magnoliopsida; Myrtales; Lythraceae
Source: RefSeq, a predicted model, not a curated record
UCCCUGCGAAGAAAUUAGGGUUGUUCAGUGUGCUUUCUUUGACCAAUGAGAGACUGAGAGAUCGGACGAUGGCUCCGAAGAGGAAGAGAACAUCACCGGCAACAUCUUACCAGGUCUUCCUGAGCUUCAGAGGACCCGACACCCGCCAGGGAUUCACGGAUGUCCUUUACCAUGCUCUUGUAGAUGCCGGGAUUCGUGUAUUCAGAGACAAUGAGGAGAUCCGUAAAGGCGAGUAUAUCGGCGACGAGAUCCUGAGAGCCAUCGAGGACUCCAGGAUCUUCGUGCCCAUCUUCUCCAGUACCUAUGCUUCAAGUAAGUGGUGCCUCAUUGAGCUCGCAAAAAUGGUGGAGUCCAAGGAGGGAUCGAGCGGCAGUAAAAGGAUCCUGCCCAUUUUCUAUGAUGUGAGCGUCGAUGAUGUCAAGCUUAAGACGGAGUUGUACACUAAAGCUCUAUCAAUACACAGGGAGAAGUUCAGUACCGACAUAGUGCACCAGUGGGAGGAGGCUCUUCGAGAAGCUGGAAAAAUAAAGGGAUGGGAACUGAAGGAUAAAGGUCAUGCAGAAUUUGCUAAGGCAUUCGUCAGGAAGGUUUCGGUGGAGUUGAAAGUCAACAAACAAUAUGUGACUCGGAGCCUAGUUGAGAGGAUUGAUGAGCAAGAUGCUCUUAUAAGCUUGUUGCAUCUAAAGUCCUCUCAUGAUGUUCGGUUGGUCUGGAUCCAUGGAAUGGGGGGUAUCGGUAAGACAACACUUGCCAAGGCUGUUUUCAACCGACUCUGUGAUCAUUUCGGCGGCUGCUGUUUCCUUCUAGAUGUGCUAGAAACAACCAAGCGCAAGGGUAUUGACCACUUGCAGAGACAACUCUUGCAAGAUCUUGGUGUUAAAUCAGCAGACAUCUCUGAUGAGAACGAUGGGAUCCAGAUAAUCAGCACACAGUUGCAGGACAGAAAAGUUCUAGUUGUUCUGGAUGAUGUGCACGACCAGGAGCAAAUUGGGAAACUAGCAGGAGAGGCUGGUUGGUUUGGAAAGGGAAGCAGGAUAAUCAUCACCUCCCGUAAUAAAAAUGUGCCUGUGUUUGAGGGAGGAAGAGUUGAGAUAUUGGAAGCAGAGUCCAUGAAAUUUGAAGAAUCUCUCCUCCUUUUCAGCAGGCAUGCCUUUGGGAAGGAGAAUCCACCUGAAGACUUCCGCGGCCUUUCAGAGAAAGUCGUCAGAAUUACGGGAGGGCUUCCCUUGUCUCUUGAAGUAGUAGGUUCACAACUUCGGACAAGUUACGAACAUCGUGACCGUGUCCAUUGGAAUCAUAUAAUUGGUUCCUUACAGAAAAUACCGGCCAGGAAGGUCCAAGACAGGCUUAAGAUAAGUUAUGAUGCCUUAGACUGCGAAGCGAAGAAGAUAUUCCUGGAUAUCGCGUGUUUCUUCAUUAACGAGGAGAAAACAAAAGCAAUUUACAUGUGGCAAUCAUGUGGCUUUAAACCAUAUUUGGCAGUGAAAGAGCUUGUUGAUGCGUCCCUAAUAAAACUCGCAGAUGACAAAAAGUUCUCGAUGCAUGAUCAGCUGCGGGACCUUGGAAGAAAAAUCGUUUGUGAUGAGAGGUUAAAGGACCUCGGAAAGCCUUGCAGUAGAAUAUGGAUGCAUGAGGAUGCUCUAAAAGUGGUGCGGGAAGAAGAGGGCAGAGAAAAUGUUUAGAUGCUUAGUCUUUCGUCCGAAGGACCCUCGGAAGAUUGCGUCCUUACAAAACAUGAAUUGAAGAAUUUCAAUAAUCUAAUAUUUCUCAGUCUCAUAAGAUCGAAUUUUUCGGGAGAUCUAGAGCAAGUCCUCCCCAAGUUGAUAUGGCUUUCUUGGCAUUCUUGUCCUGGCGUAUUUCAGGGAACUAAUCUGUAUUUGAAGAAUCUAGUCGUGCUUGACCUCUCAGAAAGUUCCAUAAGCGAAACUUGGACUGGAUGGCGCCAUAUCAGAAUGUGCAAGGAAUUGAAAGUUCUAGACCUCAAGAGGUGCAACCACUUGACCAAAAUGCCCGAGGUUGCACAAAGUUGGAGAGACUAAUACUCGAAGGUUGCAGUCACCUAGUUGAAAUAGACCAUUCCGUAGGAAAGUUGAAAUGCCUAAAGUAUCUGAACACCGGAGACUGUCCUUCUCUCAGAAAAAUUCCGAGAGAAGUAUGCUGUUUGGAUGGCCUCGAGGAUAUGGUCUUGACAACGGAAGGCUACUUCCAGAAAAUUCUCAAGCUUCCGGACUCCAUUGGGAGACUCUCGAGACUUCAGCGCCUGCGUGUGAGUUUGGGAAGGACCGUACUUCCAAGCUCACUUGGAC